AGAGUUUGAUCAUGGCUCAGGAUGAACGCUGGCGGCGUGCCUAACACAUGCAAGUCGAGCGAUUCUCCUCGGAGAAGAGCGGCGGACGGGUGAGUAACGCGUGGGUAACCUGCCCUGUACACACGGAUAACAUACCGAAAGGUAUGCUAAUACGAGAUAAUAUGCUUUUAUCGCAUGGUAGAAGUAUCAAAGCUUUUGCGGUACAGGAUGGACCCGCGUCUGAUUAGCUAGUUGGUAAGGUAACGGCUUACCAAGGCGACGAUCAGUAGCCGACCUGAGAGGGUGAUCGGCCACAUUGGAACUGAGACACGGUCCAAACUCCUACGGGAGGCAGCAGUGGGGAAUAUUGCACAAUGGCGAAAGCCUGAUGCAGCAACGCCGCGUGAGCGAUGAAGGCCUUCGGGUCGUAAAGCUCUGUCCUCAAGGAAGAUAAUGACGGUACUUGAGGAGGAAGCCCCGGCUAACUACGUGCCAGCAGCCGCGGUAAUACGUAGGGGGCUAGCGUUAUCCGGAAUUACUGGGCGUAAAGGGUGCGUAGGUGGUUUCUUAAGUCAGAGGUGAAAGGCUACGGCUCAACCGUAGUAAGCCUUUGAAACUGGGAAACUUGAGUGCAGGAGAGGAGAGUGGAAUUCCUAGUGUAGCGGUGAAAUGCGUAGAUAUUAGGAGGAACACCAGUUGCGAAGGCGGCUCUCUGGACUGUAACUGACACUGAGGCACGAAAGCGUGGGGAGCAAACAGGAUUAGAUACCCUGGUAGUCCACGCCGUAAACGAUGAGUACUAGCUGUCGGAGGUUACCCCCUUCGGUGGCGCAGCUAACGCAUUAAGUACUCCGCCUGGGGAAGUACGCUCGCAAGAGUGAAACUCAAAGGAAUUGACGG
Molecule: ribosomal RNA, 879 nt
Filed under: uncultured bacterium
Lineage: Bacteria
Description: bacterial SSU rRNA
Rfam family: Bacterial small subunit ribosomal RNA
Source: RNAcentral